This 499-nucleotide ribosomal RNA is filed under the name uncultured bacterium. Its description in RNAcentral is "partial 16S ribosomal RNA". It matches the Rfam family "Bacterial small subunit ribosomal RNA", at positions 28 to 507 of the family's 1533-position model. The record is from RNAcentral.
GACGAACGCUGGCGGCGUGCCUAAUACAUGCAAGUCGGGCGAAGUUUUUCUGGUGCUUGCACUAGAAAAACUUAGCGGCGAACGGGUGAGUAACACGUAAAGAACCUGCCUCAUAGACUGGGACAACUAUUGGAAACGAUAGCUAAUACCGGAUAACAGUAUUUCUCGCAUGAGAGAUAUUUAAAAGUUGGUUAUGCUAACACUAUGAGAUGGCUUUGCGGUGCAUUAGCUAGUUGGUGGGGUAAAGGCCCACCAAGGCGACGAUGCAUAGCCGACCUGAGAGGGUGAUCGGCCACACUGGGACUGAGACACGGCCCAGACUCCUACGGGAGGCAGCAGUAGGGAAUCUUCCGCAAUGGGCGAAAGCCUGACGGAGCAACGCCGCGUGAGUGAAGAAGGAUUUCGGUUCGUAAAGCUCUGUUGUUAGGGAAGAAUGGAUAUGUAGUAACUAUACAUGUAAGAGACGGUACCUAACCAGAAAGCCACGGCUAACUACGUG